RNAcentral lists this ribosomal RNA (253 nucleotides) under uncultured bacterium. RNAcentral's name for it is "partial 16S ribosomal RNA". It matches the Rfam family "Bacterial small subunit ribosomal RNA", at positions 526 to 779 of the family's 1533-position model. The record is from RNAcentral.
CGUAGGGUGCAAGCGUUGUCCGGAAUUAUUGGGCGUAAAGAGCUCGUAGGCGGUCUGUCGCGUCGGCUGUGAAACUUGGGGCUCAACCCCAAGCCUGCAGUCGAUACGGGCAGACUAGAGUGCGGUAGGGGAGACUGGAAUUCCUGGUGUAGCGGUGAAAUGCGCAGAUAUCAGGAGGAACACCGGUGGCGAAGGCGGGUCUCUGGGCCGUAACUGACGCUGAGGAGCGAAAGCGUGGGGAGCAAACAGGAUU